Orussus abietinus is the source of this 1141-nucleotide long non-coding RNA. RefSeq lists it as uncharacterized. NCBI's taxonomy places the organism in Eukaryota, Metazoa, Arthropoda, Insecta, Hymenoptera, Orussidae. The record is from RefSeq and is a predicted model, not a curated record. The transcript has 4 exons.
GAUACGCGAUUCGCGUUUAAAAGCGUGCCCGUGACCUUAUCGUAAACCAGGCCUUGGGUGGUCGGCAUGCGUGACGUAUAGAGACUCGGUCUCUUGGCGGCGCCUCCGAGUUCGCGAACUCGCGAUCGUUCGUUCGGACGAAUCGAUCGAGGCCACCAGGAUUCUCGUGCCGGCCGUUUACCUCGGCGGAAGAACGCUUUUUGCGCGGCGGAAAUUUUGCGCCGAUCGACCAGAGUCGUCGUGAAGAGAACCCAUCGGAAAAGUCCUGAAAGUCGGCAAUUAAGUGCCUCAUUGUUUUCCGAGGCUGAACGAACGAUAGCAUCCCUCUUCCACAGAAAUUCAUGAUUUUUAAGGCAGGGAGGACAAAUUAUUUUGUCGAGGUUUCACCAAAUCGGGACCGUUUAAUUUCGGAAUUUUCGGUAAUGGCGCCACGAAGAGAGUCCACGUGUCCGUGCAAAGAGGCCUCGAAGCGACAGAGAGCCUCGAAAAGGUCGACCAUCGGCGUCGCUUUUGAUAAACAUCCAACUAGUGCGCAACUUCCAAUUUGGUGUCGUCAUUAGUGCGUACGUCGACGGGAAAUGGUGCCGCAGCUGCGAGAGGCGACCUUACGAGUCGCCUCCGAAGCCGGGUGGAAAGGUCCACGAAAGUCGGGUAAAACGACAAUCUGGCAAAGACCCGAGACGUUUCCUUCGCCAAUUGGCACCGAGUCCCCUCGCAUUAGCAGAGCAACGAUCGAAGAGGAGGACCUCGGAGAGGAUUCUUCCUCUCGAGUCGUGGACGUCGAACCUCAACGAGCUCCCUCGAUUGGGAGCUCGAAAAGGCCAAAGCGCAAAUGCACGUCGCUCGAUGAGUGGAAAAUCUUUGAGUGAUUCACCCUCGAGGACCCACGGUGCCGAAUUAAUGGAUCCGCGCGAUUCGCGUCAUUGGAAACGACCAACGACGCUCUCGAUCGACGUUGGGAUAGGUCGAAACCGAGACGACGCUAAACGGCCGCUCGAAAACCCUCGAGCCCUUGAAGAAAUAUCGACCCCGAGGGUUCCAGGUAGAAUUGCAUGGUAUUUUCCAUGUUGUCGUCCCCACGUGUCCGAUAUUCGUUACCCGGAAUUUUGGGUCGGUACCCGGUAUUGGAUAUGGGAUAUGC